This 2578-nucleotide long non-coding RNA is filed under the name Salvia miltiorrhiza (redroot sage). Its description in RNAcentral is "long non-coding RNA (SMIL_LNC007065)". The record is from RNAcentral. Lineage: Eukaryota; Viridiplantae; Streptophyta; Magnoliopsida; Lamiales; Lamiaceae.
UGAAGGCGGAGCUGAAGAGCGUGAUGGGGGAUGGAGAAGGUGGUGGACGAGUCGCUCAUGCCCAGGCUGCCGUAUCUGCAAGCGGUCGUCAAGGAUCCAUGCGGCUGCACCCGCCGGGCCCACUCCUUCUUCCUCGCAAGGCGGAGAGCGAUCAAGUCGUCAACGGCUACCUCAUCCNUAUAUAUAUAUUAUAAAUAUAAUUCAGUUUUCGGUUUGUCGGUUUUAAAAAAUCCGAACCGAACCGAAUCGAAAACCGAAAUUUUAUGAAAAAAAAUUGAACCGAACCGAAAACCGAAAAACCGAACCAUAUUUUAAAAUUCCGGUUUGGAUCGGUUCGGUUAUUCGGUUUCAGAUUUUUUGCUCACCCCUACAGAAAAUGCAAAGCCUUUCCACCAAUUUCGUUCCAUUCUUAUACAAUAAAAUAAACUUAGAUUAAAAGAGUCAAAAUUGGUAGGCAUAAUGUGGGGACCAUGACCCCUACAUAAAAUAACGUACCUAGGGAUGGCUCUAUCUGACCUAGGGAUGGCAACAAGCCAUCAAUAUCAGAUCUAGAUCGUGGAUCUAAAAAUUUAGAUUCCAUGAUUUUACAUUUUUAAAUAAAUUAAAAAAAAAUUACAAAAAUUCCACAAAAUUUAAUUUUUCAUCAUGAAAAACUAGAAAGUAGGAGCGGUCCGAGAAGGUGAUCAGCGAGCUGGAGUGAUCUAAGAGGUUCGAGAAGGUGGCCGACGAACUGAAGAGGGAGAUGGAAGUGAGGCGGCGGGUUCACGAGUGAGGGACCGAGAGGGAGAAAGUAGAAAGUAGAAACUAGAAACUAGGGUUUGCAAAGUAAUUCUAAUUUAUCUAUUAUUUUUAAUUUUUAAUAUAUCUAAUAUUAUUAAUAAAAUAAAUAUAAAAAAUAAAUAAUAUAUAUUAUAUAAAAUAGAUCUACAGGUCGGAUCAGGGUCGGAUCCGGAUCUCAAAUUUCAAGAUCCAAAUCCAGAUUCGUUUUAAAAAAUGAGAUCCAGAUCCGCAGGUCCAAAAAAUUGAAAUCCAGGUCCAUAAAACGGAUCUAAAAUCCACGAAUCUGGACCGGAUCCAGGAUCCAUUGCCAUCCGUGAUAUGAUUAGUUCCGUAAACAGUAUACAUAAGCAGCUAUAAAGGAAAGCAAGGUCCCCCAAUAUUCAAACAUAAACAUUUAAAGAGCGAAAAGAAGAAGUAGAAAUAUGGAUUAUUUUCCUCUUCUGGCUGCACUCUUUUUCAUCAGCGCCGCAACGAUGGUUUAUCUCUUCCCGGCGGCGGAGGAACCUCCCACCGGGGCCAUUCCCGUAUCCGAUCGUCGGAAACAUGCUGCAGCUGGGGCCCAACCCACGAGACAUUCGCCAAACUGUCAAAGAAAUACGGCCCGCUGAUGUCGGUCCACCUCGGCAGCCUGUACACCGUGAUCGUGUCCUCGCCGGAGAUGGCGAAAGAGAUCAUGCUGAAAUACGGGACGGUGUUCUCCGGCAGAACGGUGGCGCAGGCGGUGCACGCGUGCGACCACGACAAGAUCUCGAUGGGGUUCCUCCCGAUCGGGGCGGAGUGGCGCGACAUGCGCAAGAUAUGCAAAGAGCAGAUGUUCUCGCACCAGAGCAUGGAAGACAGCCAGGGCCUCCGCAAGCAGAAGCUGCAGCAGCUGCUCGACCACGCCCACAGAUGCUCCGAGCAGGGCCGCGCCAUCGACAUCCGCGAGGCCGCCUUCAUCACCACCCUCAACCUCAUGUCCGCCACCCUCUUCUCCAUGCAGGCCACCGAGUUCGACUCCAAGGUCACCAUGGAGUUCAAGGAGAUCAUCGAGGGCGUCGCCAGCAUCGUCGGCGUCCCCAACUUCGCCGACUACUUCCCCAUCCUCCGCCCCUUCGACCCGCAGGGGGUCAAGCGCAGGGCCGACGUCUACUUCGGCAGACUGCUGGCUUUAAUCGAGGGCUAUCUCAACGACAGAAUCCAAUCCAGAAAGGCCAACCCCGACGCCCCCAAGAAGGAUGACUUCCUCGAGACGCUCGUCGAUAUUCUCAACUCCAACGACAACAAGCUCAAGACCGAUCACCUCCUGCAUCUCAUGCUCGACCUCUUCGUCGGGGGUUCGGAGACGAGCACCACCGAGAUCGAGUGGAUCAUGGAGGAGCUCGUGGCGCACCCGGACAAGAUGACGAAGGUGAAGGCGGAGCUGAAGAGCGUGAUGGGGGAUGAGAAGGUGGUGGACGAGUCGCUCAUGCCCAGGCUGCCGUAUCUGCAAGCGGUGGUCAAGGAAUCCAUGCGGCUGCACCCGCCGGGCCCACUCCUUCUUCCUCGCAAGGCCGAGAGCGAUCAAGUCGUCAACGGCUACCUCAUCCCGAAGGGGACUCAGGUGCUCAUCAACGCGUGGGCCAUGGGCAGAGACUCCACCAUCUGGAACAAUCCAGACGCCUUCCAACCCGAACGCUUCCUCGAUAACAAGAUCGACUUCAAAGGCCAGGAUUACGAGCUCAUUCCCUUCGGGUCGGGUCGGCGGGUCUGCCCCGGCAUGCCCCUCGCCAACCGCAUGCUGCACACCGUCACCGCCACGCUCGUUCACAACUUCGAC